Molecule: ribosomal RNA, 143 nt
Filed under: Sphingobacteriales bacterium TSM_CSM
Lineage: Bacteria; Pseudomonadati; Bacteroidota; Sphingobacteriia; Sphingobacteriales
Also listed under: 1 other name
Description: partial 23S ribosomal RNA
Rfam family: Bacterial large subunit ribosomal RNA
Source: RNAcentral
AAAGCAUCUAAGCACGAAACCAACUCCAAGAUGAGACUUCUUUUAAGGGUUGUGGUAGAAGACCACGUUGAUAGGUUGCAGGUGUAAAGGUAGAGAUAUCAAAGCUGAGCAAUACUAAUAACCCGUAAGCUUUCACAAUAAAA